RNA transcript from Dipodomys ordii (Ord's kangaroo rat), 1260 nucleotides. It is a transcript of the gene named glutaredoxin-3 pseudogene, with no coding region annotated. Lineage: Eukaryota; Metazoa; Chordata; Mammalia; Rodentia; Heteromyidae. The transcript has 2 exons. The record is from RefSeq and is a predicted model, not a curated record.
AUGACAUUCAGCAACAGGCAGAACUAUCGAAAAAGGUUCGGCUGCUCCGGCCUGGUUGUGGCAGCCUGGCGGAGGCGGGGGGGGGGGGGGGCGGCUGAGGCCCUCGUGGAGGUCGGCUCGGCCGGGCAGUUCGAGAAGCUGUUGGGCCUCAAAGCCAAGUCCCUCCUCGUGGUCCACUUCUGGGCACCUUGGGCUCCACAAUGUGUGCAGAUGAAUGAUGUAAUGGCAGAGUUAGCUAAAGAACACUCUCAAGUUUCGUUUGUGAAGUUGGAAGCUGAAGCUGUUCCUGAAGUUUCUGAAAAAUAUGAAAUUUGCUCGGUUCCCACCUUUCUGUUUUUCAAGAAUUCUCAGAAGAUCGACCAAUUAGAUGGUGCACACGCACCAGAGUUGACCAAAAAAGUUCAGCGCCAUGCAUCUAGGGGCUCCUUUCCACCCAGUGCUAGUGAUUACCGUAAAGAAGACCUUGGCCUCCACCUGAAGAAGCUAACUCAUGCUGCCCCUGCAUGCUAUUCAUGAAAGGUUUCAGUAAGCAGAUGGUGGAAAUUCUUCACAAACAUAACAUUCAGUUUAGCAGCUUUGAUAUCCUCUCAGAUGAAGAAGUUCGGCAAGGGCUCAAAACUUAUUCCAAUUGGCCUACCUAUCCUCAGCUCUAUGUUUCCGGAGAGCUCAUAGGAGGACUUGAUAUAAUUAAGGAGCUAGAAGCAUCUGAAGAACUAGAUAAUUUGCCCCAAAUUUGCCCCAAAGCUCCCAAAUUAGAGGAAAGGCUCAAAAUGCUGACGAAUAAAGCUUCUGUGAUGCUCUUUAUGAAAGGAAACAAACAGGAAGCAAAAUGUGGAUUCAGCAAACAAAUUCUGGAAAUACUAAAUGGUACUGGCGUGGAAUAUGAAACAUUUGUCAUAUUGGAGGAUGAAGAAGUGCGGCAAGGAUUAAAAACAUUUUCAAACUGGCCAACAUACCCUCAGCUGUAUGUGAAAGGGGAGCUGGUUGGAGGGUUGGACAUUGUAAAGGAGCUGAAAGAAAAUGGUGAAUUGCUGCCUGUACUGAGAGGAGAAAAUUAAUAAAUGUUAAAUGCAAUAUCCACCUCUUGCAAGAAUUAUUUAAUUACAACGGAGCAGUUUAUGAUUCAGUCCUCAGAAGUGGACUAAGAAUAAAAAAAUGCUUCUUACCAAGUUAUGCUUUGUGAAUUUCACAAGGUUGUGUUAAAUAAAUGUAUGUUACAUUUUUUCCACCUAAUGAAUGCAAUAAAUAUCUUCAAAUUGA